Bubalus bubalis (water buffalo) is the source of this 879-nucleotide long non-coding RNA. RefSeq lists it as uncharacterized. The record is from RefSeq and is a predicted model, not a curated record. NCBI's taxonomy places the organism in Eukaryota, Metazoa, Chordata, Mammalia, Artiodactyla, Bovidae. The transcript is spliced from 5 exons.
UGGGUCUUUGCAGGCAAGAAAGAAGACACCUGAGUUGCUGGAGUCUGAUAGGAGAGGAGGAGAUGGUUCAAGAUGAAGAAAGAUUUUGAGAAGUGCCUUAUGAAGCAGGAUAAGAAGAUUGUGUUUUUAUUCUAAGGCCUGGCAUCCCUGGGUAGAAUGGAAGCAGAGGGUAAAAAGAGAGGCCAGCUAAGGGGCCAUGGUGGGGGUGGAGGCUGGAACUGGAGUGGUGGUAGUGAAGAUGGACAGACUCAGCAAAUUUGGGAAACCGUCUAGCAGAGACAGAGAAAGCACUGACUGUCAGAUGGAAUGUGGGGAUCUUUCCGACCCAGGGAUUGAACCCAUGUCUCCUGCAUCUCCUGCUUGGCAGAUGGAUUCUUUACCACUGAGCCACCUGGGAAGCCCCUUAUACUGAAAGAGGAUAAAGUAAAGAGGGGUCCAGACUCACCUGGAGGACUGGGCCACCUGGAGGAGGGAGAAUGAAGAAUCUGUGGAGCUCAGUGUGAAAUAAAAAUGCGAGGCCCUUCGUUGAAAACUGGAGAAUUUCAAGCUGGACCACAUGACACCAGAACAUUAAACCAAAUCUUUCUAGUGGAAGUCAGCAGAAUGCCUCUGUCUGGAGAAAUGUGUGUUGACCAAAGGGAAAGAUUGGGUCAAGUGAGAACCGUGAUGGCUACCAGCAUCAGCUCCCUAGAUAACCUCAAAGCAAGGCCAGGCCCUCUUCAGGAAGCAGACGCAUUUUUCCUCAACUCUCCUAUUCAGGAGAGGAUCACUGUUGAACUCCGUAACUCCACAUGGACAUUGCAGAACGAUCUUAAAUGUUCACAGCGUGUGUGUGCCACUGUAUCCCAAAUGCCAGCUUUUUUACAAAAUUAAACCAAG